Molecule: long non-coding RNA, 291 nt
Organism: Eurytemora carolleeae
Lineage: Eukaryota; Metazoa; Arthropoda; Copepoda; Calanoida; Temoridae
Exons: 2
Source: RefSeq, a predicted model, not a curated record
UUUUAGUUCAUUUAAAAUGUGGAAACUUAUUUUCUGUAUUAUUAUUGUGGUUUCUAUGCUUCAUAUUUCAAAAGCAAAUUUAUUUGAAAGUUUACUGAACUGGUUUGAUGAUGAUAAUUAUGAUUCUGAGAUGAAUAGUUCCGGAAGCGGAGAGAAGGAAAUAAAUGGAACUCUAGACGUGGAAGACGACUUUAAUGUUGUGUAUACGGAUGAGGGAGCCGGUGAUUACGAAGACGACAUAUAUAAUGAAAAACAAGAAUUUUAGAAUAAAUUUAUUGAAUCCUUCUUCAA